This 352-nucleotide transfer-messenger RNA is filed under the name Leptolyngbya sp. 7M. It matches the Rfam family "transfer-messenger RNA". From Rfam's summary of the family: Bacterial tmRNA, also known as 10Sa RNA or SsrA, is named for its dual tRNA and mRNA-like properties. The record is from RNAcentral. Lineage: Bacteria; Bacillati; Cyanobacteriota; Cyanophyceae; Leptolyngbyales; Leptolyngbyaceae.
ACCACGAACGCUAUCUUGUGAUACAGGUCGAGAGUGAGUCGCCUCUCGCAAAUCAACGGCUCAAAAUGAGUACAUGCGAACAACAUCGUACCUUUUGCUCGUAAGGCAGCUGCUGUUGCCUAACAACCUCUCAUAGGUUCGAGCGUCUGUAGUUCGACUCCGUUAAGGGCUACGGACUUAACCCCAACGGAUGCUCCAGUUGAUUGCCUCUGGUCAAUCACUGGCUAAGACUUUACCAGAGCAUCCCACCGUUCGGGAUAAGGAACGGUUCCCGCUUCGAGGAUUAGAGAAGCUAAACCUGUGAACGAGCGAGAUACUAAUAACUAGGACGGACACGGGUUCGACUCCCGUC